RNAcentral lists this ribosomal RNA (258 nucleotides) under uncultured bacterium. Its description in RNAcentral is "partial 16S ribosomal RNA". It matches the Rfam family "Bacterial small subunit ribosomal RNA", at positions 96 to 354 of the family's 1533-position model. The record is from RNAcentral.
UGGCGGACGGGUGAGUAACGCGUGGGUAACCUGCCUUGCACUGGGGGAUAACACUUAGAAAUAGGUGCUAAUACCGCAUAAGCGCACGGUCCUGCAUGGGACAGUGUGAAAAACUCCGGUGGUGCAAGAUGGACCCGCGUCUGAUUAGCUGGUUGGCGGGGUAAAGGCCCACCAAGGCGACGAUCAGUAGCCGGCCUGAGAGGGUGGACGGCCACAUUGGGACUGAGACACGGCCCAAACUCCUACGGGAGGCAGCAG